Molecule: long non-coding RNA, 1585 nt
Organism: Sapajus apella (tufted capuchin)
Lineage: Eukaryota; Metazoa; Chordata; Mammalia; Primates; Cebidae
Exons: 2
Source: RefSeq, a predicted model, not a curated record
GUCAGGUUGGUCUCUGACUCCCGACCUCAGGUGAUCUGCCUGCCUCUGAGAUAGGGACAAAAACAGAAGCCUAAGCACUGCCAUCUUAUAGAGAAGCCACCUGGGCUCUGGGCAGAGGUGUCGUUCUCAGAACUGUUAUUGUACUGCAGUUCUCAGAGGUGUUAAGGGUAAAAACGUCCACUGCUACCCACCUCCCCUACAGCAAACCGUUAACUUUAGCUUCUGUACAGACAGCUUGCCUUGCACACCCCUGGGCCCCCCUGAAUAAGGAUGUGGUUUUGCAGCUUAAAUGCCUUGCUCCCCCUGAGCUCGGGGCCACGGGUUGGAGAGACAUGAGUCCUCCGUGGGCGCCGGCAAUAAAGACCCUGCAAUUUGGCAUACUUUUGUCUUGGUGUUGAUUUUCUGCCCGUUCAAAUUUAUGCUUUUUAGGGUCCCUGUGUCAAGGCGACCAAAAACCACAGGGGCAAGAAACUUGCAGCCAGCCUGGCAGCUGUGAGCUUAGGUUCAGUAUAAUCCGUCUUGGUUAGAAUUGGCUCUCUCUACAGCAUAACUUUUCCAUCUAAAUUGGCUUAAAACAAACAAAAAAAGCAUAGUUAAAACAGGUUCCAGGACCCCGAGAAAAACCAAAUGGGGUCAUCUAGCUCCUGGCCCUGCACCCUCCUCUGAUGUAUGAUGGCCAAUUUCAACAUGGGGUUUUCAGGACAAUAUGGGGAAAAGUUAAAACUGAAAAAACUCUGCACAUUGUGUAAACUAAAGUGGCCAUCGUUUGAACUGGGGUAGCCAGACAUGGAAAUCUACAACCCAAAAUUCACCCAAGCAGUAUGAAACACUGUGACGGGUCCCCCUGGGCACCCUGACCAAUAACCAUACAUUGAUCAGUGACUCAAUCUGGUCCGACGCCCCCACCAUAGUUAAUCAAAUGCUUACGAAAGGCCGAGGAGGGCCAAGAGUUGCCCCACCUUACCCUGGGCCUUCUAGGCAAGAACCUCGACACCCUACCCUGGACAGCACCAGUGGCCAGCCCUUGUCCCCACUGCAUACCCACAGCGGGGCCCCACACCCACCCGGGGUUCUUCCCCUCCGAGAGGCACCCCCAUUGGAAGACAGUAGAUGGGUUCACCCAUUCUUUGUACACAUUCCCUUUUCCGCAAGUGACUUGUACCAUUAAAAAGCUCAGCACCCUCCAUUCUCUAAAAAGCCUCAGGCACUCACAGGACUCCUGGAGUCCGCUCUGUAGACCACCGCCCCACUUGAAAUAACUGUCAGCAGUUACUUCUCAUUCUGUUUACCACCGAAGAAAAGAGCAAAAUUAAAGGCCCUUAAGACCAUUAUAGGUCUGGUGGAAGGUGUAAUAGAGGAAAACCGAGACCAGAUUUAAGACAUUUUUCCCUCUACCUGACCCCAGUGGGACCCCAACACCUCGGGGGUCACCAGGCUCUAAACACUUUUCACCGGUAUCUUUUAGCAGGGGUUAAGGGGGCGGCUAGGAGGCCCACACCUGGGCCCAUCCUAAUACAUGGGUAACACCCCCCAUAGGCACCGAGAAAAAAAAAAACUGUCCAGACCACAGGCACAACCAGGGCCU